Molecule: non-coding RNA, 139 nt
Organism: Beta vulgaris subsp. vulgaris (sugar beet)
Lineage: Eukaryota; Viridiplantae; Streptophyta; Magnoliopsida; Caryophyllales; Amaranthaceae
Source: Rfam
GAUAUGAGAGACAGUUAAAAUAGCCAAGGAGACUGCCUGGCACCUCUUAGAGAGCAUGAAUAGACAAACCACUCACCACUCUCUUUAAACAAAGAAGCAGGCAAGUCAUCCUUGGCUACUCAACUUAUGACUCUCAUUU